AUACGGAGGAUGCGAGCGUUAUCCGGAUUUAUUGGGUUUAAAGGGUGCGUAGGCGGUUUUUCAAGUCAGCGGUGAAACGCAAGGGCUCAACCCUUGACCUGCCGUUGAAACUGUUGGACUAGAAUGCGGAUGCUGUGGGAGGAAUGUGUGGUGUAGCGGUGAUAUGCAUAGAUAUCACACAGAACACCGAUUGCGAAGGCAACUCACAAAUCCGUGAUUGACGCUGAGGCACGAAAGUGUGGGGAUCAAACAGGAUUAGAUACCCUGGUAGUCCACACUGUAAACGAUGAUAACUCGCUGUCGGCGAUACACAGUCGGUGGCCAAGCGAAAGCGAUAAGUUAUCCACCUGGGGAGUACGACCGCAAGGUUGAAACUCAAAGGAAUUGACGGGG
Molecule: ribosomal RNA, 393 nt
Filed under: uncultured bacterium
Lineage: Bacteria
Description: partial 16S ribosomal RNA
Rfam family: Bacterial small subunit ribosomal RNA
Source: RNAcentral